This 490-nucleotide ribosomal RNA is filed under the name uncultured bacterium. Its description in RNAcentral is "partial 16S ribosomal RNA". It matches the Rfam family "Bacterial small subunit ribosomal RNA", at positions 30 to 507 of the family's 1533-position model. The record is from RNAcentral.
AUUGAACGCUGGCGGCAUGCUUUACACAUGCAAGUCGGACGGCAGCACAGAGACGCUUGCUUCUUGGGUGGCGAGUGGCGAACGGGUGAGUCAUAUAUCGGAACGUACCGAGUAAUGGGGGAUAACUAAUCGAAAGAUUAGCUAAUACCGCAUAUUCUCUGAGGCGGAAAGCAGGGUACCUUCAGGCCUUUCGUUAUUCGAGCGUCCGAUAUCUGAUUAGCUAGUUGGUGGGGUAAAGGCCUACCAAGGAGACGAUCAGUAGCGGGUCUGAGAGGAUGAUCGGCCACACUGGAACUGAGACACGGCCCAGACUCCUACGGGAGGCAGCAGUGGGGAAUUUUGGACAAUGGGCGCAAGCCUGAUCCAGCCAUGCCGCGUGUCUGAAGAAGGCCUUCGGGUUGUAAAGGACUUUUGUCAGGGAAGAAAAGGCUGUUGCUAAUAUCAAUAGCUGAUGGCGGUACCUGAAGAAUAAGCACCGGCUAACUACGUG